UACAGGGGGGGCAAGCGUUGUUCGGAAUUACUGGGCGUAAAGGGCCAGUAGGCGGCCAACUAAGUCACACGUGAAAUCCCCAGGCUUAACCUGGGAACUGCGUGUGAUACUGGAUGGCUUGAGUUCGGGAGAGGGAUGCGGAAUUCCAGGUGUAGCGGUGAAAUGCGUAGAUAUCUGGAGGAACACCGGUGGCGAAGGCGGCAUCCUGGACCGACACUGACGCUGAGGAGCGAAAGCCAGGGGAGCAAACGGG
RNAcentral lists this ribosomal RNA (253 nucleotides) under uncultured bacterium. Its description in RNAcentral is "partial 16S ribosomal RNA". It matches the Rfam family "Bacterial small subunit ribosomal RNA", at positions 524 to 776 of the family's 1533-position model. The record is from RNAcentral.